UGAAAAUAAAAAAAAGGUGUUAGAAAACUAAAAAAUCAAAAAGAAGCAAAUUUGUCCAUUUUUGUGUUUUGGCCGAAAUUGUGUUGUUGUUGUUUUGGCUGAGAUUUGUGUCUAUAUCUAGGUGUGUUUUGCUUGUAUUAGUUGUUUCUUGUGUUGGUUUUCUCUCUCUAACACUCCUUAAGUAUUAAUCUAAGUUCUUGAGCUAUGUUUCAAGUUUUGUGGUGGUAAUUGU
RNAcentral lists this long non-coding RNA (232 nucleotides) under Capsicum annuum. RNAcentral describes it as "long non-coding RNA (CANN_LNC017509)". Lineage: Eukaryota; Viridiplantae; Streptophyta; Magnoliopsida; Solanales; Solanaceae. The record is from RNAcentral.